Molecule: non-coding RNA, 16 nt
Filed under: Mus musculus (house mouse)
Lineage: Eukaryota; Metazoa; Chordata; Mammalia; Rodentia; Muridae
Source: RNAcentral
UUGAGGUUGUGAGUAG